Molecule: non-coding RNA, 747 nt
Filed under: Amarygmini sp. ACP-2013
Lineage: Eukaryota; Metazoa; Arthropoda; Insecta; Coleoptera; Tenebrionidae
Source: RNAcentral
AAAAGUUUUAUUCUGGCUUGGGGAUUUGCUUUGGGGAAAAUUUAUAUACGAAGUUUUUCUUUAAGGUUUUUUUUGUAGUAUUUAGUAUUAGGAAUUAAGGUUUCUUAGACCUAGUUAUUUUCUCUAGUAUAAACAAAAUUUGUGCCAGCAGUAGCGGUUAUACAAAUUGUGCAAGUUAAUUUUUUCAAGUUGAGUUAGGAGUGAAUUUUUGGGCUUACGGAUUAAAUUUUUAGGUGAAAUUUAAUUUUUUUCUUUUGGCCUUUUUCUUUUUCCGAAGUUUAGAAAUUUUUAGUUAAACUAGGAUUAGAUACCCUAUUAUUUUAAAUGUAAUUUUAUUUUCUUUGAUUAUUAUUAGUUAUUUUCUUUAAAAUUAAAGAAUUUGGCGGUAUUUUAGUCUGUUCAGAGGAACCUGUUUUUUAAUUGAUGGUCCACGAUAAUUUUUACUUUAGUUUUAAAUUUAUAUAUCGUUGUUUGUAAAAAUUUUAGUAGAAGUUUAAUUUUUUUGACUUUUAAUUAGGAAAUAUUUCAAAUCAAGGUGUAGUUUAUAUUAAAGAUGAAAUGGGUUACAUUAAAUUUAUUUUUGGUCUUAUAAUUUAUAAUUUUAGGUAAAUUGGAUUUGAUAGUAAAUUUUUUAUUUAUGAUUUUUGAUUUAGCUCUAAAAUAUGCACAUAUCGCCCGUCGCUUUCAUUUUAAGGUGAAAUAAGUCGUAACAAAGUAGGCUUAUUGGAAAAUGAGCCUAGAAUGAUC